CAACUUUUAUUUUGUUUUAGCAAAUGCGAAAACAAUAUAUACAGUGUGUCCCACGUAACUUCAGCGAAGCUUUAAAAAUAUGGAAAUGCCACGUAGCCGGAUCGAACCAAGGCAGAUCACGGAGGAUUCCAAACCGCCCAGUGGUGUAGUACGCCUUCUCCGUAACUGAAGAUACUGACAAGAAAAAGGUGGACGGAAUGUAGCUGGCGGAGAACAUGAAGUGAAAUGAUGACGUAGUGUUCUGUGGGUUUGGGCAUCCUUUGGAAACUGCAAAAACCGCUCGUGUGGCAACUGCAGUGUUCUUCUCAUGUAAGGAAGACGCCCUGCGGCUUAAUAUCACACCAAGUUUUCUUAAGGAAAUUGACAGGGUAUGCGCUAUAUGGCGCCUUUGCUACUCUUUGGGGGAGGACGCUAGCAACGCCACCACGGAGAUCUACAAAGUCGCCGGCGAGUGCACGUACAAGUUCAGCCAGGCAGCCGCCUUUGUUUUCCCUACAUGGCCAGAAAAGUACAAUAUCAAUAUUGAUUCUUUUGCGGAUGCCAUGCAGAGAUGUGCUUUCCCGAAAUAUCCGAAAGGCGUGAAUUACGUCCUGAGAACUAUUGAUUACUUCAGGUACUUUGCUUCCGGAUAGCAUGCGCUCGAUAUCAUCAGCAAGAAUAAAAUAGUUAAAAUAUAAUGCUGAUGUUCCCAGCAGAAUGAAGCACUGAACAAAUAAAUACAU
This is a long non-coding RNA of Dermacentor albipictus, 722 nucleotides long. RefSeq lists it as uncharacterized. The record is from RefSeq and is a predicted model, not a curated record. NCBI's taxonomy places the organism in Eukaryota, Metazoa, Arthropoda, Arachnida, Ixodida, Ixodidae.